Molecule: long non-coding RNA, 2595 nt
Organism: Piliocolobus tephrosceles (Ugandan red Colobus)
Lineage: Eukaryota; Metazoa; Chordata; Mammalia; Primates; Cercopithecidae
Source: Ensembl
UACCUAUUAACCAGAGAGAUGAUACAGUGCGGUAGGGAAGCACGCGGACUUUGGAACAAGGCUGCCUGGGUUGACCGUGGCUCUGCCACUUACUAGCUUGAACCUUGAGCAAGUUCCUCAAUUUUAUCUGUGAAACACAGGACACCAACAGCAACACCUACCUAUGUGCGAACUAUUCCUAACAGCAUUUAUAACACAAUAAGCUCUAGAGAGGUGUUCUAGUUCUGCCGGCAGAACUAGUGUCCUAAGACACAUGUUGGGAAACACUAAUAGAAAAUUGGAAGCCCUAUAGAAUUCUAGAGAUGUCGUCUCUCCAUAAGAUUACAGACUGGUAGGAGAAAGGGUAUGUAAUUAUGACUCAACACAUUAAGUCACGACCAAGGAGUAUGUGCGGACUUUGGAACCCAAAGAAGGGAACGAACUGCAUUUCUAAUGGUGAGGAAGGUUACAGGAAAGAAUCUACAGCCAAACUGACAGAAAUCCCAAAACACGAGCAGGAUUUCACCAAGCAGAAAAGUAGAGGAUGACUGUGGCAAAUAAAAAGUAGGUGCACAGUAUGGCUGGGGACAGCGAGAAACCCAAUUUGACUAGAGUGGACAGGAGCUGGAAGACGGGACGACGCACUUCACUGGAAAUGCACUGACACUAGGUUGUUACAGGCCCCGGUUUCCAAAUUAGGGAGCCUGGGAUCUCAGUCUACAGGGAAAUAAGGAGCACCAACGUCAAAAACAACCAGCCAACCAAGGAAGGAUCAGAGUCGCAAGUGAACCGAGUAGAAGAGGAAAAGACUAGGGGCAACGAGACAUGUUUCAAGGAAAUUAAACCAGUUCCGCUGAAAACCACACCCAGAGCACAUCAGUCAUGUCCGGCCCUGUGUGAAAGCCCCGUUCUCUUCCUGCUGACGUUCCACUUUGAAGCUAAUUGCCCUGGCCAAGAACACAUACCUGCCAGUGUGACCCUGAAGUACACUGCUACCUGGUGUUUUGCCGGACAGCUCCCGGCAUCCAGGCGUUUCCUGGUCAACUGCUGGAGACACCUGAGCACCACCCUGUGCCAGCAGCAGGGCCCAGACCAGUGUUGUGCCACCUCGCUCUCUCAGGCUGCACCUGCCAUCCGCUAUGAUCCUCAAAACCGGGAAGGGCUCUCUGCUCCAAAAACUUCCUUCCUAACAAGCUCCACUGAAAAAUUAAAGGCUUCAUUCCCCCAUCAGAUAAAAAGCUAAAACGCAAUGAAUGAUCCCAGAAAAAGUUAAAUAACCGUUCCACCUGGAAACUUGAACGGCCCUUCUUGGCAAGGUGAUUUUAAUCAAACAGAAUUAGGAGACACAGAGAGCCUGGCAGAGGGAAGUGGGAGGAUGUGGUCGGGAACUGCUCAGAGACAAAUCACUUCUACCACGCUGGCAUAUGGCGCCUUUGCUAUGUGCCAGGCACGGCGCUGGAUGGGCUCUUUGUGCAUCAUUUACGCAGCAGAGUGACCCAGUGAAAUGGGCAUUAUUUCCAUUUUGUAGGAGAGCAAACGAGUUCAGAAGUGAAGUAUCGGUCUAAGGCCAAACAGCCACUAAUCGGCACAGCAUAAGCGUUACGUUCCACAAGUUCCCUGACGGCCAUCUGGGCGCACAGGUGGUGACAGCCCGGGUCAUCCCACUCCCACUGGAUGCGCCCUGGUAGCGACCGGGGCACAGCCCACUGUCAGGUCGAUGGAAAAGCCUGCUUGGCAAGGAGGCUCCCCCAUGGGCGCAGGACACGGGGUAGGGCUGGUCACAGCCAUUAGUUCGUUGACCUUGGCCUCAAAUGCUAGCUGCAACCCCCGUGAGCCGGGGACACCCUGGCGGAGUGCACGCACGCGUCGUGGCCUCCCCGCGCUAGCCGGGCGCGCGUGACUGUCUAAUGAGGCCGGCGCCAGCGUCCCACACCGCGAACUGAGACGAGCGAGGACAGAAACGGUUUCUCCACUCACAACCGCUCCUUUGCACUCACAUCCCGUCGGUUUGGGUGUCCCCGAGUUGGGACAUUAGGUUCUGUUGGUCCCGCUUUCCGCAGGCCUGGCUCUAAGCGUCGGCGGGAGGUGGGGGAGUGGGGCGCGGGUGGUGCGUGGCUUACCUGGCGUUAGAUUGGGAUCCCGCGCGGCCGACUCCCUCUUCCCCUUCACGGCAGCGUCCUCGUGCUGCUUCUCAGUGGGUGGGCCCUAGCCCCUACCCUUGACCCUCGACCCCGGCAGAGGUAGAGUUGGUCCCACCGCACCUAGGGGCGCCCCUCGAGGGCAGCACACGCCUGCUUCCGGCCUGGAGCACCUGCGAGGCCGCGAGGAACUCCGGGACAUCCGGUUGCUGGCGCACAGCUCUCUGGGACCAGACGCAGGUGAGGUGGAGUGGGCGGAACCGCUCAAAGCCACGCCCACGUCCUGCUCCCACGCCCACGUCCUGCUCCCACGCCCUGGCUGCCGGCAUCUGCGGAGUCUAUUGCCCUCUAUCCCUCCUGCUGCAGCUGAGGCAAGAGGGGCAGAGAGCAGCUACGGUCACCAUAGCCACUUUCUAAUGUACUCCAGAACUUUUCCCAUCCCAGGCAGAAAAAUAAAACCCAGCAAGAAUUCUUUCCA